RNAcentral lists this non-coding RNA (31 nucleotides) under Mus musculus (house mouse). Lineage: Eukaryota; Metazoa; Chordata; Mammalia; Rodentia; Muridae. The record is from RNAcentral.
UNCCCUUAAGGCAGAAAUCUGGUGUCGGAUC